RNAcentral lists this ribosomal RNA (528 nucleotides) under Nowakowskiella elegans. Its description in RNAcentral is "eukaryotic LSU rRNA". It matches the Rfam family "Eukaryotic large subunit ribosomal RNA", at positions 139 to 700 of the family's 3401-position model. RNAcentral also lists the same sequence under 1 other name. The record is from RNAcentral. Lineage: Eukaryota; Fungi; Chytridiomycota; Chytridiomycetes; Cladochytriales; Nowakowskiellaceae.
CGAAUUGUAGUUUAGAGAAGUGUUUUCUGGGGUAGCUCAGGCAUAGGUCCUUUGGAAAGAGGCGUCAUAGAGGGUGAGAACCCCGUCUGUGGCCUGAAGCCUACUCCUUUGUGAUACACUUUCAAAGAGUCGAGUUGUUUGGGAAUGCAGCUCAAAAUGGGUGGUAAAUACCAUCUAAAGCUAAAUAUUGGCGAGAGACCGAUAGCGAACAAGUACCGUGAGGGAAAGAUGAAAAGAACUUUGAAAAGAGAGUUAAACAGUACGUGAAAUUGUUAAAAGGGAAACGCUUGAAAUCAGUGUUGCAGCCCAGCAAUCAGCCAUUCCAUAGGAUGGUGCACUUGCUGGGAGCAGGUCAGCAUCAGUUUACUGUGGAGUAAAAAGCUGCGAAUUAGCCUUUUAGGUUGGGUCGCCAGUCAUGCUCUGCGGUGGACUGAGGACUGCUUUAACAGGAUGCUGACGAAAUGGUUUUAAACGACCCGUCUUGAAACACGGACCAAGGAGUCUAACAAAUAUGCGAGUAUUCGGGUG